UGGGGAAUAUUGCACAAUGGGCGCAAGCCUGAUGCAGCCAUGCCGCGUGUGUGAAGAAGGCCUUCGGGUUGUAAAGCACUUUCAGCGGGGAGGAAGGCGAUAAGGUUAAUAACCUUGUCGAUUGACGUUACCCGCAGAAGAAGCACCGGCUAACUCCGUGCCAGCAGCCGCGGUAAUACGGAGGGUGCAAGCGUUAAUCGGAAUUACUGGGCGUAAAGCGCACGCAGGCGGUCUGUCAAGUCGGAUGUGAAAUCCCCGGGCUCAACCUGGGAACUGCAUUUGAAACUGGCAGGCUAGAGUCUUGUAGAGGGGGGUAGAAUUCCAGGGGUAGCGGUGAAAUGCGUAGAGAUCUGGAGGAAUACCGGUGGCGAAGGCGGCCCCCUGGGCAAAGACUGACGCUCAGGUGCGAAAGCGUGGGGAGCAAACAGG
RNAcentral lists this ribosomal RNA (429 nucleotides) under Chloroflexota bacterium. Its description in RNAcentral is "Chloroflexi bacterium partial 16S ribosomal RNA". It matches the Rfam family "Bacterial small subunit ribosomal RNA", at positions 355 to 776 of the family's 1533-position model. Lineage: Bacteria; Bacillati; Chloroflexota. The record is from RNAcentral.